AUGUCUCGCCGCUCUGUUGAUCAAACUCCUUCACCUCGCUCCGUCCCACGUAUCUCUAUUCACGCAGGAAAUCAGGAAACUUUUGAUCACCUUCCUUUCCUAUUUAUUCUCUACCAAAUCAACGAUAGAGCCUCCCCUAGAGAAAACAAACGCCCCACCCCUUUUCUAACUCCCGAGCGAGGGUAUCCAUCUCGCGCGCACGCCGCUACCGCCAUCCUUCUGCUAUCCGAGACCUCCCUCCCCUAUGGAGACCAAGUGCAGUUGUGCGUUGGGACCGGCACUAUCAUCGCCAAGCCAGAGAUCAAGAAGCUCCAGUCCAGCAUCCAGGCGCGAGCGGGCCCCAAGAUUGCAGGGUGCCGCGUGAUCAAGGUGGAGGCGCACCAGAUCCCGGAGCACCCGCGCUCGUGCCGCGUGGCCCUGGUCGGCGACGCGGAGGGGUACGUGAUUCGGUGCUCCGACGAGGCAUCUACUUCACGAUCAAGUCCGGGCAGCUUUGCGUCAAGGCGAUGGGCGAUGGCCAAGGAACGACGGUUGAAGAGCACGGUGACGGAGGCCGGGAUCAGGCGCGGGUACCUGUGGCGGUGGGACGAUGAGUUCGUGCUGACGUUCAGAACCUUGGACGCAGGCGCUGGUGGUCGGCUGGGGCAGAUGUUCGAGUGCCACCUGCACAAGUGGAUGGCGUCCGGCGAGCCGUGGGCCGACCUCCAGCUGGUGUGGUGCACCACAGGCGGCAUGGUUCGAUACAACAUCCUCGGCAAGGAGGUCCAGCGGCUCCAGCAGCUCGAGUUGCCGCGAGCUUAG
RNAcentral lists this ribosomal RNA (801 nucleotides) under Triticum aestivum (bread wheat). RNAcentral describes it as "partial small subunit ribosomal RNA". The record is from RNAcentral. Lineage: Eukaryota; Viridiplantae; Streptophyta; Magnoliopsida; Poales; Poaceae.